AUGGAAGGCAUCGCUCGCAGGAGGGACGAUCUGGAGAGCUACUUGAGGAGCCUCGCCAAGAAGUUGUACAUCAAGCUUGAAGAGUUUUGCCAGAACUUUGAAGAGGAGACUGGGCGGAUCGAACCAGGUUUGGAUCCAAUCAACUCUCCCGUGAAAGAUGAAACUACCAUGAAUCUGCUCCGACUGGAAUCUCGCAUCGACGGUGCCGUGGACUACUUGGCUCGACUGAAGGUCGCCAUGUCACGGAUCGACCCGGCACUUUGGCCAGAGGCUACGCUCCAAAACGAUCUCGAGUCUCUGAUGACUCGACUUAACGAAAUCCCUGACCGAGUGCAGGAGUGGAAGAAGUCUUCUGCUCGGUGUGGCGCUGAUGUGGCUCUGUCCUUGGUUCGUGUCCACUGCAAGGAGGUGCGACAAGACAAGCUGGCAGCAAUCAAGGUCGCCAACACCCAGAAGCAUGACUUCCGAACCUUUAUGGAGACUUUCAUUGCCGCAGCCACUCGGAUAGCCGACGGCGUCGGCCUGGAUGAGUUCGUCGAGCCUGCCAGCCCUCCUCCCGCGGAGUGA
RNAcentral lists this ribosomal RNA (567 nucleotides) under Triticum aestivum (bread wheat). RNAcentral describes it as "partial small subunit ribosomal RNA". Lineage: Eukaryota; Viridiplantae; Streptophyta; Magnoliopsida; Poales; Poaceae. The record is from RNAcentral.